AUUGAACGCUGGCGGCAGGCCUAACACAUGCAAGUCGAACGGUAACAGGAAGAAGCUUGCUUCUUUGCUGACGAGUGGCGGACGGGUGAGUAAUGUCUGGGAAACUGCCUGAUGGAGGGGGAUAACUACUGGAAACGGUAGCUAAUACCGCAUAACGUCGCAAGACCAAAAAGGGGGACCUUCGGGCCUCUUGCCAUCGGAUGUGCCCAGAUGGGAUUAGCUAGUAGGUGGGGUAACGGCUCACCUAGGCGACGAUCCCUAGCUGGUCUGAGAGGAUGACCAGCCACACUGGAACUGAGACACGGUCCAGACUCCUACGGGAGGCAGCAGUGGGGAAUAUUGCACAAUGGGCGCAAGCCUGAUGCAGCCAUGCCGCGUGUAUGAAGAAGGCCUUCGGGUUGUAAAGUACUUUCAGCGGGGAGGAAGGGAGUAAAGUUAAUACCUUUGCUCACUGACGUUACCCGCAGAAGAAGCACCGGCUAACUCCGU
This 489-nucleotide ribosomal RNA is filed under the name uncultured bacterium. RNAcentral's name for it is "partial 16S ribosomal RNA". It matches the Rfam family "Bacterial small subunit ribosomal RNA", at positions 30 to 506 of the family's 1533-position model. The record is from RNAcentral.